AGAUAAGAAGGUGAUCUUGCUGUGACAUCUGUCACUUUACUGAUGAGCAAGACUGAUUCAGCUGAUCUGGCUGACUAGCUGGGUGCUCCUUUCUUCUUUUGAUCCAUAUGCCCCUCCCAGUUUGCAUGGAAGAGGAGGGUCAUUCUUUGGUCAAGAAUUUAGGAGUACCUACCUGUACGCCUUUCCUAGAACUUUCAAACAAGCUCUCAAGAGUAAAAUGAGGACUUUGAGUUUUAACUGUCCUACCACCCACCCAUACCCCCAAAAGAGUAAUAACUAUUAGUUCUUACUAG
Molecule: unclassified non-coding RNA, 293 nt
Organism: Dipodomys ordii (Ord's kangaroo rat)
Lineage: Eukaryota; Metazoa; Chordata; Mammalia; Rodentia; Heteromyidae
Gene: 7SK
Rfam family: 7SK RNA
About the family: 7SK was discovered as an abundant small nuclear RNA in the mid-70s but a possible function has only recently been suggested.
Source: Ensembl